GACGAAGGUGGCGAGCGUUACUCGGAAUUACUAGGCGUAAAGCAUGGGCAGGCGGUUCGGCAAGUCUGUUGUGAAAGCUCCUGGCUUAACCGGGAGAGGUCAAUGGAUACUACCGGGCUUGAAUCGGGGAGAGGUCACUGGAAUUCCUGGUGUAGCGGUGAAAUGCGUAGAGAUCAGGAGGAACACCAAUGGCGAAAGCAGGUGACUGGACCCGUAUUGACGCUCAUCCAUGAAAGCCGGGGGAGCAAACAGG
Molecule: ribosomal RNA, 253 nt
Filed under: uncultured bacterium
Lineage: Bacteria
Also listed under: 1 other name
Description: partial 16S ribosomal RNA
Rfam family: Bacterial small subunit ribosomal RNA
Source: RNAcentral